GGUGCACAUGAUGUUUAAAGCGAUCAAAGUAUGAGAUCUGUGAUUCCAUCUUAUCAUGACUGAUGCACU
This is a non-coding RNA of Pelobates cultripes (western spadefoot toad), 69 nucleotides long. NCBI's taxonomy places the organism in Eukaryota, Metazoa, Chordata, Amphibia, Anura, Pelobatidae. The record is from the annotation of a GenBank genome assembly.